Long non-coding RNA from Antechinus flavipes (yellow-footed antechinus), 805 nucleotides. RefSeq lists it as uncharacterized. The transcript has 3 exons. NCBI's taxonomy places the organism in Eukaryota, Metazoa, Chordata, Mammalia, Dasyuromorphia, Dasyuridae. The record is from RefSeq and is a predicted model, not a curated record.
CGGGGUCCAGCCACAGCUGUUCGAGCCACAGACUCGACAUAACUCCUAGGUUCUGCAAAAUGUAAAGGAAUACCAUUAAACUGAGCAGGAGAAAUCAGGCAGCCAGACAACCUGGCCCAGACCACAGGCCCAGCCCUAAAGUCUGCAGUGCAGGACGUGCGGAAGGUCCCUCCCCGUGAUUCUAAGACAUCAAGAUUAGUGCCGUACAUGAGAGCCUUUUCUACCCCAAUCCCUCCACCCCCCAAUACCCACAUGGAUCCCAGUUCCCCAUCCACAAACAGUCCUGAGAAUCUACAAAGGGGACCGGAGCCUGAACGAGAGAAAGACCCUCUUACCCCUGAGGAGGAACCGGAGAGACCCUUCCAGUUCCACUCUACAAUCAAAUAUUUGAAUCAGCUCUGAAGAGACAACAGGCUGAAGUGAUUGAGAGGGCCAACCCAACUCAGGAAGGCAUUUCCCCGUGUUCUGAGACAUCAGAUAACAUAAUUCACCCAGCCCCCUCCAUGCUGCAGCGUGCUCAGGUUGUUCCCUCUCUGUGCCUCGAUCCCUGAUCCUACACCUCUCCUUCCUGACCACAAAGUGGAAAGGUCAGUGAGGUCUGGAUUCCAGUCUCCUCCACAUUUUCAUUUGCCAUUUUGAUGUACCUUAAGGACCACUGAACCUCAUCAUCUGCCCUGUCAGCCCUCUAUGUGUUUUGUCUCUCUGUAUCAGAAUGCAAGCUCUCUGAGAAAGAGCUAUCCAUUUUGCUAUCCAUUUCUCCAGCCCUUACCAUGGGGCUUGGUACAUAAUAAAAGCUUAAUACAUU